RNAcentral lists this ribosomal RNA (404 nucleotides) under bacterium. RNAcentral describes it as "partial 16S ribosomal RNA". It matches the Rfam family "Bacterial small subunit ribosomal RNA", at positions 355 to 776 of the family's 1533-position model. The record is from RNAcentral.
UGGGGAAUAUUGCACAAUGGAGGGAACUCUGAUGCAGCGACGCCGCGUGAACGAAGAAGGCUUUCGAGUCGUAAAGUUCUUUUAUAUGGGAAGAUAAUGACGGUACCAUAAGAAAAAGCCCCGGCUAACUACGUGCCAGCAGCCGCGGUAAUACGUAGGGGGCAAGCGUUGUCCGGAAUUACUGGGCGUAAAGAGUUCGUAGGCGGUUUGUCGCGUCGUUUGUGAAAACCAGCAGCUCAACUGCUGGCUUGCAGGCGAUACGGGCAGACUUGAGUACUGCAGGGGGGACUGGAAUUCCUGGUGUAGCGGUGAAAUGCGCAGAUAUCAGGAGGAACGCCGGUGGCGAGGGCGGGUCUCUGGGCAGUAACUGACGCUGAGGAACGAAAGCGUGGGUAGCGAACAAG